CCGCGUGGAGGAUGACGCAUUUAGGUGUGUAAACUCCUUUUAUAUGCCAAGAUAAUGACGGUAGUAUAUGAAUAAGCACCGGCUAACUCCGUGCCAGCAGCCGCGGUAAUACGGAGGGUGCAAGCGUUACUCGGAAUCACUGGGCGUAAAGGGUGCGUAGGCUGUUAGACAAGUCAGGGGUGAAAUCCUACAGGCUCAACUGUAGAACUGCUCUUGAAACUGUUUAACUAGAAUAUGGGAGAGGCAGAUGGAAUUAGUGGUGUUAGGGUAAAAUCCGUAGAGAUCACUAGGAAUACCGAUGGCGAAGGCGAUCUGCUGGAACAAGAUUGACGCUGAGGCACGAAAGCGUGGGCAGCAAACAGGAUUAGAUACCCUGGUAGUCCACGCCGUAAACGAUGUACAUUAGUUGUUGGUGUGCUAGACACAACAGUAAUGCAGUUAACACAUUAAAUGUACCGCCUGGGGAGUACGGUCGCAAGAUUAAAACUCAAAGGAAUAGACGGGGACCCACACAAGCGGUGGAGCAUGUGGUUUAAUUCGAAGAUACGCGAAGAACCUUACCUGGCCUUGACAUCCUUAGAAUCUUAUCAGAGAUAUGAGAGUGUUAGUUUACUAGAGCUUAGAGACAGGUGCUGCACGGCUGUCGUCAGCUCGUGUCGUGAGAUGUUGGGUCAAGUCCGCAA
RNAcentral lists this ribosomal RNA (683 nucleotides) under Stilbonema sp. associated bacterium 8. RNAcentral describes it as "bacterial SSU rRNA". It matches the Rfam family "Bacterial small subunit ribosomal RNA", at positions 397 to 1092 of the family's 1533-position model. Lineage: Bacteria; Pseudomonadati; Campylobacterota. The record is from RNAcentral.